AUGGCGCAGCAAGGUGUUGCUUCCAUACUUGCCGUGGCCCUGGUCCUUGUUGCCUUUGCAUCAUUUCCCGCAGUGCACUCCAUCGGCGUCUGCAACGGCGUGAUCGGCAACAACCUGCCGGCGCCGAGCGACGUCGUGAAGCUCUACCAAACCAAGGGCAUCGAUGCCAUGCGGAUCUACGCGCCGGAGAGCAACGUCCUCAAGGCGCUCAGCGGCACGGGCAUCAGCCUCCUCAUGGACGUCGGCAACGGCGCGCUAACCAGCCUCGCAAACGACCCCUCCGCCGCGCCCGCCUGGGUCAAGGCCAACGUGCAGCCCUUCCCGGGCGUCUCCUUCCGCUACAUCGCCGUCGGCAACGAGGUCACGGACAGCGCCGGCCAGAAGACCAUCCUCCCGGCCAUAAAGAACAUACAAACGGCGCUCGCGGCCGCCGGCCUCAGCGGCAGCAUCAAGGUGUCGACUUCGCUGCGGUUCGACGUGGUCAAUAACACCUCCCCGCCCUCCAACGGCGUGUUCGCGGACACAUCAUUCAUGGGGCCGAUCCUGGACUUCCUGGCGAGCACCGGCGCACCGCUGCUGGUCAACGUGUACCCCUACUUCGCCUACAAGGGCGACCAGCAGAACAUCAAGCUCGACUUCGCCACCUUCGUGCCAGGCAGCACCACCGUGACCGACAACGGGCUGACGUACAGCAACCUGUUCGACGCCAUGGUCGACUCCAUCUACGCCGCACUGGAGAAAGCCGGCAAGCCCGACGUUAAGGUGGUCAUAUCCGAGAGCGGGUGGCCGUCGGCCGGUGGGGUCGGGGCGACGGCGCAGAACGCGCGGGCUUACAACCAGGGAUUGAUCAACCACGUCCGCGGGGGCACGCCGAAGAAGCCCAGCUUGCUGGAGACGUACAUUUUCGCCAUGUUCAACGAGAACCAGAAGACAGGGGAUCCGACGGAGAACAACUUUGGGCUGUUCAAUCCGGACAAGUCGCCGGCCUACUCCGUUACUUUCUAA
RNAcentral lists this ribosomal RNA (1005 nucleotides) under Triticum aestivum (bread wheat). Its description in RNAcentral is "partial small subunit ribosomal RNA". Lineage: Eukaryota; Viridiplantae; Streptophyta; Magnoliopsida; Poales; Poaceae. The record is from RNAcentral.